CGGCGGACGGGUGAGUAACGCGUGGGUAACCUGCCUCAUACAGGGGGAUAACAGUUGGAAACGGCUGCUAAUACCGCACAAGCGCACAGUACCGCAUGGUACGGUGUGAAAAACUCCGGUGGUAUGAGAUGGACCCGCGUCUGAUUAGGUAGUUGGUGGGGUAACGGCCUACCAAGCCGACGAUCAGUAGCCGACUUGAGAGGGUGACCGGCCACAUUGGGACUGAGACACGGCCCAA
RNAcentral lists this ribosomal RNA (238 nucleotides) under uncultured bacterium. RNAcentral's name for it is "partial 16S ribosomal RNA". It matches the Rfam family "Bacterial small subunit ribosomal RNA", at positions 96 to 334 of the family's 1533-position model. The record is from RNAcentral.